GGUAGCUCAGUUGGAUAGAGUGUUUGGCUACGAACCAAAAGGUCGGGGGUUCGAAUCCCUUCCG
This 64-nucleotide transfer RNA is filed under the name bovine gut metagenome. It matches the Rfam family "tRNA", at positions 6 to 65 of the family's 71-position model. Rfam says of the family: Transfer RNA (tRNA) molecules are approximately 80 nucleotides in length. The record is from RNAcentral.